UGCCAGCAGCCGCGGUAAUAAGUAGGGUGCCAGCGUUGUUCGGAAUUACUGGGCGUAAAGCGCGCGUAGGCGGCUUUUUAAGUCAGAUGCGAAAGUCCACGGCUCAACCGUGGAGGUGCAUUUGAAACUGGAAAGCUUGAGCAUCAGAGGAUGGUGGAAUUCCCGGUGUAGAGGUGAAAUUCGUAGAUAUCGGGAGGAAUACCGGUGGCGAAGGCGACCAUCUGGCUGAAUACUGACGCUGAGGUGCGCAAGCUUGGUGAGCAAACAGGAUUAGAUA
Molecule: ribosomal RNA, 277 nt
Filed under: uncultured bacterium
Lineage: Bacteria
Description: partial 16S ribosomal RNA
Rfam family: Bacterial small subunit ribosomal RNA
Source: RNAcentral